GGGGAGGGGCUUGUAACGUCAGUAGUCUAUAGCUAUGUUAUGGAGGGGGAGGGGCUUGUAACGUCAGUAGUCUACAGCUAUGUUAUGGAGGGGGAGGUAGGCUACACACACAUACACUGGCAAAGAUGUUCAGCUGUCAGGCAGAUACUGGAAGACGUUUCUGAUUGACAGAGAGAGGGCUUUGCAUACGUUCUUUGUUGCCUUUUUUUUUUUGUGGGACUAGAACAAAAAAUACCCCGGAACGUAGAAGAACUGUAUUAACCGAUUCCAAUGCUUUUAAAUGAACGGUUCUGUUCCCAGAACAGUAUAGAUCACUUUCAUUCCCGGUUCUGAUUCUGUUCCUUAAAUUUGUUUGUUAUUUUCCGGUUUUCGGUUCUUUUCCCUGAACCGGUUCCAUCCCACGUUACCAACAGCUGCAAAUUCAUAUAAAACCACAUGUUUUGAAGUUCAUUUCCUUGCUUUGUAGAACAAUAUUAUCAUGAAUCUAGCAAAUAAGUUUUGUGGGUCAGAGGUCAAUAUUUAUUUAGUUUCAUAGCACAAAUGUAUGUUAGCGCGUUUCUCAGACUGGCUUUAGCCACGGAUGGAGCAGGCCUGUCCUGGCAAGUGCAGGGAUUUGUGAAUCUGUUAGGAGCGAACCGCAAGCGCCACAGCUGAAAUGGUAAAAAUAAAUAAAUAAAAUGAUUCCAGCUUUAAAUGGAUCAUCCAGAUUAGCUGUUAGCUUUUGUUUUGUUCUCAUCUAAUACUAACAAAUUACAGUAUUCUAUCAUCCUGACAAUAUGGUACUACAGAGAAGAGAGGUUUAGGAGAGGUGUAGGAGAGGAGGAGAGGAGGAGAGGAGGAGAGAGGAGAGCAGUGAGGAGGAGAGAGGAGUGGAGGAGAGAGGAGAGCAGUGAGGAGGAGAGAGGAGUGGAGUGGAGAGGUUUAGGAGAGGAGAGAGGAGAGGAGUGGAGAGGAGGAGAGAGGAGAGGAGUGGAGAGGAGAGAGGUAUGGAGAGGAGAGGAGUGGAGAGGAGAGAGGUUUAGGAGAGGAGAGAGGAGAGGAGUGGAGAGGAGAGAGGUUUAGGAGAGGAGGAGAGAGGAGAGGAGUGAGGAGGAGAGAGAAGAGGAGUGGAGAGGUUUAGGAAAGAAGAGAAGAGAAGAGGAGAGGAGGAGAGAGGAGUGGAGAGGAGAGAAGAGGAGAGAGGAGUGGAGAGGAGAAGAGAAGAGGAGGAGAGGAGUGGAGAGGUUUAGGAGAGGAGAGGUGGAUGACUGGAUAUUUUAGGCAGACAGGGAUAAUAAAGCCUUGGUUGUAUCACUACAGAAGCUGGAGACAGGGAGCGAUGGAGGAGGCGGUACUGAUGAAUUAUUUAUGUCUGGCCAAAGCAUCCAAUUUCCGUUUCAUUCUUUCACAGGGAGUCUGGGACUACUAGCCAGAGAGCUCUGUGAUAUCCCCCCCCCGGCUUGCCUAAUGAUUUAAGUGUUUGUAAUGAGGUUUGGAAGAUGUAUCUGUAGCAAUGAUUUUUUUAAGGAAUAAUAAAUAUUCUUAUAUUUUUCAGCUGUUAUUAAUCAUAGGAUAAGUUGUGCCUUGAAGCCCCAUGUUGUAGACCUACAGUGAGUACUGACGACGUCAUCAAAGAGAGAAAUAAUAGCUAUGUCGUUUGUGUACUUCUCACUGUUGCUCAGCCUCAUUCAUUACAAGUGAUGGAUUGAACCCGUGAUGGAACUCGAAGCAUUCUUUUGGAAUCGACGCUGAGAUUUGUUCAAUUCACAACACUCUGUAGCAUUUUUCUACGUUAGAAAGAGCAAGGUCAGUUUUAAUAAUCUCCUCCUGUACUCAAUGGAUCCUUUGUAGUCUUUACUAUGUGUAGUGUUGAAUAGUGAUGGCUGUAGUGUUGAAUAGUGAUGGCUGUAGUGUUGAAUAGUGAUGGCUGUAGUGUUGAAUAGUGAUGGCUGUAGUGUUGAAUAGUGAUGGCUGUGUAAAUGAAGGCAGUCAGAUCAGAUGCUGCAGUGGGCUG
Long non-coding RNA from Oncorhynchus tshawytscha (Chinook salmon), 1993 nucleotides. The record is from Ensembl. NCBI's taxonomy places the organism in Eukaryota, Metazoa, Chordata, Actinopteri, Salmoniformes, Salmonidae.